Molecule: long non-coding RNA, 642 nt
Organism: Magnolia sinica
Lineage: Eukaryota; Viridiplantae; Streptophyta; Magnoliopsida; Magnoliales; Magnoliaceae
Exons: 2
Source: RefSeq, a predicted model, not a curated record
AUGGAAUAUAUGACAGAGUAUCAUCACCAAAUCAUCUGACAUUCAUCAGGGUGGGCCAACUACAGCAUAGGUGGCGAUCACCUCAAAUUAAAAACCGUCCAAAUAUUUUUUCAGUUCAUUUGAGAGCAUGGUCCAAAAAAUGAAGCAGAUCAAAAUCUCAAGUGGGCCACUGAGACUUGAAUCUGCUUCAUUUUUUGGGACCAUGCGCUAAAAUGAGCUGAAAAAACGGAUGGACGGCGUAGAUAUACGACACAUAAUCAAGGUGGGCCCUGCGUCAGGGCCUCACCCACUAAGCUGUUACCCCGGCCUCACCUAAUCCGCUCCCUUUUAGAAGAGACAAAAAGAGGAACGAGGCUGCCAUAAGCUUCCACUAAAACGAGACAACGAGCCACAUGCAUUGUCGAUGAAGACCAAUCCAAACUGUUAAAAGCGAUGGCCAGGAAAGCGGAUGCGUGAAAACGGAGGAGGAAUUAUGGAGUAUCCGUUCCUUUGAUUAGGCAUAAGAAACCAAACAUGUGGGGCCUAGUUAAGUUGACCUGAGCGGUCUGAUUCGGUGGGCCCCGACAUGGACGAGGAUGCCCAGAAAGGUCUCCAGAUUGGAUGAUCUGGACCAUUGUUACAAAAAACCUAUAAGACUUUUGG